ACCGACGAUCAGUAGCCGACCUGAGAGGGCGACCGGCCACAUUGGGACUGAGACACGGCCCAAACUCCUACGGGAGGCAGCAGUGGGGAAUAUUGCACAAUGGGGGGAACCCUGAUGCAGCAACGCCGCGUGAAGGAAGACGGUUUUCGGAUUGUAAACUUCUAUCAGCAGGGAAGAGAAUGACGGUACCUGACUAAGAAGCCCCGGCUAACUAC
This 215-nucleotide ribosomal RNA is filed under the name uncultured bacterium. Its description in RNAcentral is "partial 16S ribosomal RNA". It matches the Rfam family "Bacterial small subunit ribosomal RNA", at positions 272 to 504 of the family's 1533-position model. The record is from RNAcentral.